RNAcentral lists this ribosomal RNA (378 nucleotides) under uncultured organism. RNAcentral's name for it is "partial 16S ribosomal RNA". It matches the Rfam family "Bacterial small subunit ribosomal RNA", at positions 527 to 896 of the family's 1533-position model. The record is from RNAcentral.
GUAGGUGGCAAGCGCUGUCCGGAAUUAUUGGGCGUAAAGCGCGCGCAGGCGGUUCUUUAAGUCUGAUGUGAAAGCCCACGGCUCAACCGUGGAGUGUCAUUGGAAACUGGAGAACUUGAGUACAGAAGAGGAAAGCGGAAUUCCACGUGUAGCGGUGAAAUGCGUAGAGAUGUGGAGGAACACCAGUGGCGAAGGCGGCUUUCUGGUCUGUAACUGACGCUGAGGCGCGAAAGCGUGGGGGGGAGCAAACAGGAUUAGAUACCCUGGUAGUCCACGCCGUAAACGAUGAGUGCUAAGUGUUAGGGGGUUUCCGCCCCCCCCUUAGUGCUGCAGCUAACGCAUUAAGCACUCCGCCUGGGGAGUACGGCCGCAAGGCUG